UGGGUGUGCUCAGAGCAGGGGGCCUGAAGAAUGGCUCCUCUGUUUACAACACAUUCAACAGUAAUCUGGGGUCAUUGUGAUGAGUGGCACAAAACUUGGGGUUUCCCUAUGAACAAAUGCCCUACACAU
Molecule: small nucleolar RNA, 129 nt
Filed under: Microcebus murinus (gray mouse lemur)
Lineage: Eukaryota; Metazoa; Chordata; Mammalia; Primates; Cheirogaleidae
Description: Small nucleolar RNA SNORA11 (ENSMICG00000022826.3)
Rfam family: Small nucleolar RNA SNORA11
About the family: U107 (SNORA11) is a member of the H/ACA class of snoRNAs that guide the sites of modification of uridines to pseudouridines. This snoRNA was identified by RT-PCR from blood cells and its expression confirmed by Northern blot analysis. There is no predicted target for this guide snRNA.
Source: Rfam by way of RNAcentral